This 224-nucleotide ribosomal RNA is filed under the name Pavlova sp. CCMP459. RNAcentral describes it as "partial Eukaryotic large subunit ribosomal RNA". It matches the Rfam family "Eukaryotic large subunit ribosomal RNA", at positions 2618 to 2840 of the family's 3401-position model. Lineage: Eukaryota; Haptophyta; Pavlovophyceae; Pavlovales; Pavlovaceae. The record is from RNAcentral.
AGUUUGGCUGGGGCGGCACAUCUGUUAAACAAUAACGCAGGUGUCCUAAGGGGGACUCAUGGAGAACAGAAAUCUCCAGUAGAACAAAAGGGUAAAAGUCCCCUUGAUUUUGAUUUUCAGUGUGAAUACAAACCAUGAAAGUGUGGCCUAUCGAACCUUUAGUCCCUCGGAGUUAUGAGGCUAGAGAUGCCAGAAAAGUUACCACAGGGAUAACUGGCUUGUGG